This is a long non-coding RNA of Acipenser ruthenus (sterlet), 3220 nucleotides long. RefSeq lists it as uncharacterized. The record is from RefSeq and is a predicted model, not a curated record. Lineage: Eukaryota; Metazoa; Chordata; Actinopteri; Acipenseriformes; Acipenseridae. The transcript has 3 exons.
GGUGGUACCCUUACAGCUCAUUGAAAUAAUGCUUCAUUCCUCCUGAAAAGUGAUGAAAUUAAAAGCUAUUUUAUCAGGUAUACUUGCAUGCCUUUGGUAUGUCAUAGAAUAAAGCAUAGAAGCUGUGAAAAGAGAUGAAUUAUUGCUUAUUCUACAAAUAUAUUCUAAAAUGGCCUGGACACAUUUGUUGGUACCCCUUAGAAAAGAUAAUAAAUAAUUGGAUUAUAGAGAUAUUUCAAACUAAUUAGUUUCUUUAAUUAGUAUCACACAUGUCUCCAAUCUUGUAAUCAGUCAUUCAGCCUAUUUAAAUGGAGAAAAGUAGUCUAUGUGCUGUUUGGUAUCAUUGGGUGCACCACACUGAACAUGGACCAAAGAAAGCAAAGGAGAGAGUUGUCUGAGGAGAUCUGAAAGAAAAUAAUUGACAAGCAUGGUAAAGGUAAAGGCUACAAGACCAUCUCCAAGCAGCUUGAUGUUCCUGUGACAACAGUUGUAAAUAUUAUUAAGAAGUUUAAGGUCCAUGCAACUGUAGCCAACCUCCCUGGGGGCGGCCGCAAGAGGAAAUUCGACCCCAGAUUGAAUAGAAGGAUAGUGCGAAUGGUAGAAAAAGAACCAAGGAUAACUGCCAAAGAGAUACAAGCUGAACUCCAAGGUGAAGGUACGUCAGUUUCUGAUCGCACCAUCCGUCGCUUUUGGUGGUGGUUGGCAGGGACAGGGUUAAUUCCUGUCCCUGCCAAAAACAUGUGAGAAUGUGGCUGUUCCCAAACAAGAUAAUUGGUGUAAAUUGGGAACAGCCACAUACUAUAAAAAGAGAGCUUCCAGCUCCAUUAGAUGAGAGAUCACCAGGGAGCUGGGCCCUGUUUCAGAAAGCAGGUUUAACAAACUCUGAGUUCAAACCUGAACUCUGGGUUGAUUAACUCUGAGUUGUCAAACUCAGAGUUUUCGGUUUCAGAACAGGUGAUAACAAUGAGUUGAAUCAACUCUGAGUUAAGUUAACCCUGAGUAAAGCCCGUGCAUGAAGAGAUAAAAAGUCCUCAUCAAAGGAACCCAGAUAACUUGAUUUGUCAUGGCAACAGGAGAAAAAAGGGCUCGAACCUCCUACUUCUCCCCAGUGGAGAUAGAAAUAUUAAUAAAUGCGUAUGCAGAAUACAAAUAUAUAUUUAAGAAAAAAAGCAAUACUGUAGCAGCAGCAAAAGAAUGUGACUUGGCGUGGGAGAAAAUUGCUGACCAAGUCAAUGCGUGAGUAUUAAUUGAAAAAAAAGAAAAGUUUUAUCUCGAGUGUUCCACUUAUUCAACAAUAAUAUAAAUAUAUAUAUAUAUAUGUGUAUAUAUAUGUGUAUAUAUAUAUGUAUAUAUGUGUGUGUGCGCGUGUUUAAUAUUUAUGCAGGUGCAACCCAACUGGCACAAAAUGUACUUGGCAGCAACUGAAGAUUAAAUAUAAAAAUAUACUUCAAACAGGUAAGGUAUAAUUUCAUUACAAGCAAUUGUGAUGUUGUUUAGCCUACCCUAUCUAAUUAAACCACAUUCAGUGGUUACAUUCAACAUGUGAUAUAUUUAAGUAGUUAGUGAAAUUUUCUAAGCAAAAAAAAAAGUAAAUUUUUCAGCCAUCCCAACACUGCCAGUAUUUAAUAUUGUCUAUUUGAAAGUAACACCUAAAUGCCUUUAUACAUACAAGUCUCCAAAUUUGUGCUUACUGGACUUCAAAUUUGACCUCCAUUAUAGCCAAUAGAAAAAAGGCUGGAGGAAGCUCAUCUGACCCAACCACCCCCCAGGACACAAGGGCCUACAUAAGAGUUACUGAUGGUGUAAUCUGUCUGGUGGAGCCUUCUGCCAUAACAGACCUCCAUGCAGUUGGGGAUGAUGAUGAAGACACUUUGUCAGCUGCCACAGAGAGGGAAGAUACAGAGAGACCUAUUGAGGUUCACACCUUAAAAAUAACAUCUAACAGUUGAUACUGUUGUACCAUAAUAAAACUUGCACAUUCUUUUUCUCUAAAAGCGAAAAAGAUGCUGGAAAUUACAAUGAGGAAGAGGGUCCAUCCACCUCCACAGCACAACUUACCUCAGUAAGAUGUUGUUCAGCAUUGGCCCAUGACUUACAAUGAAACUAAGUAGACCUGGCACUGUGAAAUUCAAUGUCAUUUUUUUGUGUUCCUAUAGCUCCCUGUGAAACAGCUGUACAAGGUGUACUUAAAUAAACAAAUUGAAAAAUGUAAUUUAGAAAUGGACCACAUAAGGCUGCAGAUGUGAAAGGCAAAACUAGAAAUACAACUGCUGGAACAUCAGUUAAAGGUGGGUGAGAUGCCCACAGGUGGAUGAUUUUACUUGUUUGAACAACAUAAAAAAUAUUAACUACUGUACUGCAUUUGUACUUGCAGUAAAUAAAGAAGACUUAAUAAAAAGAAAGGCAUAUUGUCUUUAUUUGACACUGGGGAGGUGAUGGGUCAAUCAGAAAUGAAGGUAGCAUAUUGUGUCUCUGACUGCUCUUCCAUCUCAUGCGUCAGCAGGGUGGUCAGGAUCAUUAUCAGGGUCGUUCACUGGUUGAGUAGGACAUUGUUCUCCUCUAAUUGUGGCAAUGUUGUGGAGAAUCACACAUGCCACAAUAAUGUCACAUGCCCUUUCUGGGGUGACCCUGAGCCUACGAAGGCACUGGAACCGGGCCUUGAGCAUCCCACUGGUCAUCUCUACCCUGGCUCGUGUCCUGCAGUGAGCCAAGUUAUAACGUUGCUGCGGGCCGGGCUCAGUAUCAGGGUAAGGGGUCAGCAAAUAGGGCUGGCAGUGGUACCCUCUAUCACCGAGCAGGUAACCAUCGAACUCUCCUAUGAUAAUACGAGGAUACAGUUUAAAUUUUCAGUUGCAAUAGGAGGAAACAAAAUAUUGAUUAUAAUAGGAUAUAGCUAUAUAUAUAAACUCACCACGGGCAAAUCUAGCGCUCAGUGUACACUCACGAAACAUUCGCGAGUCAUGCACAGACCCAGGCCACUUUGCUUCCACGUUGCUGAUGAUGUGGGCUGCAUCACAUAUGAUCUUCACAGUGCAGUACAGUAAUUAGCUGCAGUAGCUGUAUUGUGAAGUAUCUUUCAUUUGGAAUGCUAAAGGCUACUAUUUAGGCCUACCUGCACAUUAAUACUGUGGAAAGACUUCCUAUUCACAUAAUCUCCUUCAUUUACUGAAGGAGCUGUGAUAGGAAUAUGAGUGCCACCUAUGCAGCCAAUCACACCUGG